GGACCGACACCGCCGAGUCGCUUCCGAGCGAGCCGGGGACCCAGGUUUUCCGGGGUGAAUCCGCAGCCACUGCGGUAGGGCGUCCACCUUCCCGCCCGAACCCGUCAGCUAACCCGGUAGGCGGUCAGGAAGAAGGA
Molecule: small RNA, 137 nt
Filed under: Micromonospora cremea
Lineage: Bacteria; Bacillati; Actinomycetota; Actinomycetes; Micromonosporales; Micromonosporaceae
Description: c-di-AMP sequence
Rfam family: c-di-AMP riboswitch aptamer (ydaO/yuaA leader)
About the family: This family represents a conserved RNA structure found upstream of the ydaO and yuaA genes in Bacillus subtilis and related genes in other bacteria. The ydaO/yuaA element is thought to act as a genetic "off" switch for the ydaO and yuaA genes in its native state.
Source: RNAcentral